AACAAGGCGUACCUGCGGACCUGCGGAGGGAUCAUUAAAAAACAUUUUGCCCUCGCGACCUCCGCGGUCCGAGGCAAAAGAACCCACACUGUGUGCACCGUUACAGUUUUCUUUGGCAGGGGCUUGGGGUUGUGUUUCUUGCACACCUCAACUUCUCCUCUGGCUCCAUCCCAAUGUAUGUUGGAACAGCCGGACAUGGGAAGCCGUAUCCUGCCAAGUGACCUAAAUCACUCUUUUUUG
RNAcentral lists this unclassified non-coding RNA (240 nucleotides) under soil metagenome. RNAcentral's name for it is "partial contains 5.8S ribosomal RNA, internal transcribed spacer 2, and large subunit ribosomal RNA". The record is from RNAcentral.